ACGCUGGCGGUAGGCUUAACACAUGCAAGUCGUGCGAGAAAGUAUCUUCGGAUAUGAGUAGAGCGGCGGACGGGUGAGUAACGCGUAGGAAUCUACCUAGUAGAAGGGGAUAGCCCGGGGAAACCCGGAUUAAUACCGUAUACCUCCUUCGGGAGAAAGAAGGCCUCUCUUUGAAGCUUUCGCUACUAGAUGAGCCUGCGUAAGAUUAGCUUGUUGGUGAGGUAAAGGCUCACCAAGGCGACGAUCUUUAGCUGGUCUGAGAGGACGAUCAGCCACAUUGGGACUGAGACACGGCCCAGACUCCUACGGGAGGCAGCAGUGGGGAAUAUUGGACAAUGGGCGCAAGCCUGAUCCAGCCAUACCGCGUGUGUGAAGAAGGCCUUCGGGUUGUAAAGCACUUUAAGCAGGGAGAAAAAGUUAUAAGUUAAUACCUUAUAACCCUGAUGUUACCUGCAGAAUAAGCACCGGCUAAUUCCGUGCCAGCAGCCGCGGUAAUACGGAAGGUGCAAGCGUUAAUCGGAAUUACUGGGCGUAAAGCGCGCGUAGGUGGUUUGUUAAGUUGGAUGUGAAAGCCCUGGGCUUAACCUAGGAACUGCAUCCAAAACUAACUCACUAGAGUACGAUAGAGGGAGGUAGAAUUCAUAGUGUAGCGGUGGAAUGCGUAGAUAUUAUGAAGAAUACCAGUGGCGAAGGCGGCCUCCUGGAUCUGUACUGACACUGAGGUGCGAAAGCGUGGGUAGCGAACAGGAUUAGAUACCCUGGUAGUCCACGCCGUAAACGAUGACAACUAGCCGUUGGGAGACAAUGUCUUUCAGUGGCGCAGCUAACGCUUUAAGUUGUCCGCCU
RNAcentral lists this ribosomal RNA (846 nucleotides) under uncultured bacterium. Its description in RNAcentral is "bacterial SSU rRNA". It matches the Rfam family "Bacterial small subunit ribosomal RNA", at positions 33 to 874 of the family's 1533-position model. The record is from RNAcentral.